Molecule: long non-coding RNA, 789 nt
Organism: Erigeron canadensis
Lineage: Eukaryota; Viridiplantae; Streptophyta; Magnoliopsida; Asterales; Asteraceae
Exons: 4
Source: RefSeq, a predicted model, not a curated record
CGCGGACCUUGAAGCUAGACCACCCGUUUAACCAACCCCAUCUAUCCUUUUAAGUUCUAUCUGUUUCUUCCAACACCAUUCAUGCCCUAUUUUUCCUUUUUUUCUACAUGAACAGAAGAUGUAAAAUUGUAAAUGCCUUUCAAUCCCAAUCCCUAAUCCAUCUUAUAUGCUUCACUGAUGAAAGAAAAUCUGUAAAUUGAUUUCAUACAUUGACGAAUAUCAGAGUGGUGUUCCUGUAUUGUUUCAUUGCUUCUGUUGUUUCAAUUAUUACAAUUUUUUUUUACUAAUAAGUCCGAAGUUUGAAGCGAUUUCACUAGAAAGAGAUGGGUGACCUUGAUCGAGUGAACUAAAGAGACAUUUUUAGGUAAAUUCCAUUUUAUAAUAUGGGUGUAGAUACGGGUGAUCUGCAUAUAAAGGUUAUACUUAAUGUUCAACAAUACUUAUGUCAAAUUUAAAGAGUUUAGACGAUACUGAUGGAUUAGUUGAUCUAGAAUUUGAACAAGACAUAUGAGAAGUAUUCCAUCAUUUUUCUAGCUCAGAUGCAGAUUCUUCAGUUUUCAUCCAGGAUUUUGCUCGAAGUGCUUUUGUCAAACCCAUCAAAGUCCAUGUGGGUCGAGCAAGAAGCAGCAAAUUUUGAUGUUAUCGACUAUUUAUUCAUAUAUUAUCUUAUACGUACUCAAGUAAUAAUGGAAUGAGAUUCAUUUUUAUCUACCAAAAUGGUUAAAUUAUGUUACUUUGUAUACUGUUUUAUGUUUCACUAUUUUUUUAUAUUUAAAUUAAUGUUCUCCA